Molecule: ribosomal RNA, 252 nt
Filed under: uncultured bacterium
Lineage: Bacteria
Description: partial 16S ribosomal RNA
Rfam family: Bacterial small subunit ribosomal RNA
Source: RNAcentral
GACAGAGGCCUCAAGCGUUAGGCGGAAUCACUGGGCUUAAAGCGUGUGUAGGCGGGUCGUUAAGUCAGGGGUGAAAUCCUGGAGCUCAACUCCAGAACUGCCUUCGAUACUGGGAGCUCGAGUCCGGGAGAGGUGAGUGGAACUGCGAGUGUAGAGGUGAAAUUCGUAGAUAUUCGCAAGAACACCAGUGGCGAAGGCGGCUCACUGGCCCGGUACUGACGCUGAGGUGCGAAAGCGUGGGGAGCAAACAGG